GACGAGCUCUCCAAACGUUAUUCGGAAUCACUGGGCUUAAAGAGUUCGUAGGCGGUUUGGUAGGUGAGGUGUGAAAUCCCCCGGCUCAACCGGGGAACUGCGCUUCAAACCGCCGGACUUGAGGGAGACAGAGGUGGGCGGAACAGAUGGUGGAGCGGUGAAAUGCGUUGAUAUCCUCUGGAACACCGGUGGCGAAAGCGGCCCACUGGGUCUCAUCUGACGCUGAGGAACGAAAGCUAGGGUAGCGAACGGG
RNAcentral lists this ribosomal RNA (253 nucleotides) under uncultured bacterium. RNAcentral's name for it is "partial 16S ribosomal RNA". It matches the Rfam family "Bacterial small subunit ribosomal RNA", at positions 524 to 776 of the family's 1533-position model. The record is from RNAcentral.